CAGACUUCAUAUAUCAUCAUCAGUUUCAUACACAUAUAUCAUCAUCAGUUUCAUACAUAUAUAUACAAGGCUACAAUAGUACCAACCACAAAAGGGCCUGCCAACUACAACAAUACUAGCAAAAUACAUCAACUUGCAACUACCACCACAUGUAUUCUCAUUCCUAAGCCAUACCGGAUACAGAAGUCCACAAACACCUAUAGUCUAAUGUUAUCGUGUUGUUUGAACAUGGCUGGUUGCGUCAACGGUCUCAUCGACAUCAACAUUUCCAGUGACGUCAUUCUCCUCGCUUGAAACCAUGACAUCAUUGUUUCCAUCAACCGCUUGCGAACCAGCUUGAGAUGAGUUAUUUGUCCCCUGAAUCGAGCCCAAGUUACCAAAUUUUUAUUUAAUCUGAUUUACAACAAUAAAACGUAAUACUUUGUUGGAUGACAAAGUCGGAGUUGCUUGCUAUGUGAUUAGGGAUAGCGAUGAUGGCUGGCACGGAGAGGUGAUGAUGACGAACUGUGCGUCGUGUUGGAAAUUCUUCUGGCUGGGAGCGCCAUUGCUGGAAAGUUCAAGCUGGGGGAAAAAUAUCAACCGAAAACUACUUUUGGGUAGCCACUCAGAAACAUCACCCUCAUAGACAAGUCAAGCCACCACCAUCCGUUGAGGAAGGCUAUUUAUGACGGUGUGACUCCUCACCAGAGCGCGUCGUCGC
RNAcentral lists this long non-coding RNA (700 nucleotides) under Hordeum vulgare. RNAcentral describes it as "long non-coding RNA (HVUL_LNC013382)". The record is from RNAcentral. Lineage: Eukaryota; Viridiplantae; Streptophyta; Magnoliopsida; Poales; Poaceae.